GUUAGUGGCGGACGGGUGAGUAACGCGUGGGAAUCUGCCCUCAGGAGGGGGAUAACGGUUGGAAACGGCCGCUAAUACCCCAUAUGCCGAGAGGUGAAAUGAAUUUCGCCUGAGGAUGAGCUCGCGUCUGAUUAGCUAGUUGGUGGGGUAAAGGCCUACCAAGGCAUCGAUCAGUAGCUGGUCUGAGAGGAUGAUCAGCCACACUGGAACUGAGACACGGUCCAGACUCCUACGGGAGGCAGCAGCGAG
This 249-nucleotide ribosomal RNA is filed under the name Ctenophora environmental sample. RNAcentral describes it as "partial Bacterial small subunit ribosomal RNA". It matches the Rfam family "Bacterial small subunit ribosomal RNA", at positions 91 to 358 of the family's 1533-position model. Lineage: Eukaryota; Metazoa; Ctenophora. The record is from RNAcentral.